GUGCUUGCUUUGGCAACACAUGUACAAAAACUGGAAUGGUAAAGAGAACUCUAGCAUGGCUCCUACAUAAGAAUAAUAUGCAAAUUCAUGAAGCAGUUCAUAUUUU
RNAcentral lists this small nuclear RNA (106 nucleotides) under Mus pahari (shrew mouse). The record is from RNAcentral. Lineage: Eukaryota; Metazoa; Chordata; Mammalia; Rodentia; Muridae.